Long non-coding RNA from Sapajus apella (tufted capuchin), 1750 nucleotides. RefSeq lists it as uncharacterized. The record is from RefSeq and is a predicted model, not a curated record. The transcript is spliced from 2 exons. Lineage: Eukaryota; Metazoa; Chordata; Mammalia; Primates; Cebidae.
CCCCUCCAUCUGCCCAGCCACCUCCCAGGAUAUUCCUAGGAAAGAUCAAAGAGGACCUCUUGAAAGGGCUGGCUCUCACUCCAGAUAAUUGGUUUAUGAGCAGAAACCAUUGCUUAAGAGACACUUACCAUCAACCAGAAUCACGGGGGACAGCACCAUGAACUCAGAGCACUCACUUCUACACACCCUCUCAAACCAAACAUUAAUCCCAACUACAUAUGGUAAUGAGAGCUACUAGCAAGCAGAUAUGGGGGUUCAGGCUUGAAGUCUGACCCUGAGCAAAUGUUCCCAUUUCACCAAGGAGCAAGGAGAACACUGUGGUGGUGUGUUUAGGGAUGGAAUCUCCACAUCAAAUCCACUGGCAAGACCUGGAUGUUCUCGGAAAAUGUUGAACAUUAAUCUUCUCAUCUCUAGUUUCAACACCCAGCUGAGGCCACCAUCAUUUCUUGGAUUUGGCUGGACAAUGGCAACAGCCAGCUAUGACUGCUUUGACUUUCUCUACAACUCCAGCUAAUCUAUCCUCCACUCCGCAGCCCGAACGAUCACUUCAAAAUUCACAGUAGAUAAUGACACUGCAGUGGAAAAUGUUGAUUGCUUUCUACUUAGCAUAAACCCCGUAUUCUUUACUGUGGCCUACAAGACCCUUAGUGCAAUCCUUUCUUGAUGGGCUCCUCAUUUUUUAAGUCUCAGGUUAAAUUAGUGGUUCUCAAAAGAGAGGAAUUUUGCCCUUUAAGAGACAUUUGGCAAUGUUAGGAGAUAUUUUUGGUUGUCAUAAAUGGAAGUCAGGGCAUGCCACUGGCAUCCAGCGGUCAGAGGCCAGGGAUGCUGUUGAACAUUCUGCAAUGCGCAGAAUAGUCCCACAGCAAAGAAUUGUCUGACCCAAAAUGUCAGCAGUGCCAAAGUUGAGAAAUCCUGGAGUGACUUUAUCUGACCAUUUUUAUCUCAAAUUGAUUCCCAUCCCCUACAAUCUUCAUACCUCUAACCACAAUUUGCAAUUAUCCUCUUAUUGUUAUUUACAUACGUGUAAGCGCCACAUACCGGGCUAGAGACAAAGCGUGUCUUGUUCAACUUUGUUGUCUCAACACAUACCACUUAGUAGACACUCAAUAAAUAUUCGUGGGAAGAAGAAGGGCAGGAAAGGCGAAGGGCAUGGAGAAAGGCAGUCCAGGUUAAGCAGCACCCCCGCCCUUCUGAGCCACUUUCAGGAUCAUGCUGACUUUCAUCUUCAUGUGGAAAACCUGCCAUUUCACUUAGCCAGUUGCACUGAUAAUGUUUUAUUGGAGAAUGAGCCGAGUAGACUACGAAACACUUUAAAAAUCAAUCGUGAGGCAGGGUGGGGGGUGGGAGCACUGGCAAGAAACUGUUUACAUGUCUUCAGUAUUGACUUUGCUUUUGUCAAACAAGUCCUCUUGAGGGUAGGGACCACGUCUAUUUCAGUCCCCGCUGUAGCCCCAGCACCUUGCACAGUGCAUAGCACAGAGAUAGUGGGUUCCCCAAAAGUGUUUGUGAAUAUGUGAGUACUCCCCCCACCUGCAGGGGCGGGAGGGCUGAUACCCCAUUGCACCUACUUCUCUGCCAGCUCAUGAACCACUUAUGGAGCCAGCCUUCAGGUCAGACUCUUGCUUUUCUUCCUGUUAGUGGCCCUUAAAAGAGCAUUGCCAAUAAAAACUUCAGCUCUGGAAAAGAAUUCUAUCCUUUGUCAGCUAUUUCCGACAGCCCUUGAAAGAAAAAUAAAUUUGGCUCCAAGUUU